GGCAAGGGUAGAGGCGCGAUAUUUAAGAGUACCAUUGAUGAGGUAAGCACAAUGAUUCAAUGGAAAAGGAAAUGUCGCCGAAGUAUAUAACUGAUGCUUUAAGGUUAUAUAUCUGGGGUUGUAUAAAAUAUAUGCAACACUGUCACAAAUUGUAUUUGUGGAGAGCUAUCAUUUAA
RNAcentral lists this non-coding RNA (176 nucleotides) under Clostridium chauvoei. RNAcentral describes it as "Lysine sequence". It matches the Rfam family "Lysine riboswitch aptamer". From Rfam's summary of the family: Riboswitches are metabolite binding domains within certain messenger RNAs that serve as precision sensors for their corresponding targets. Allosteric rearrangement of mRNA structure is mediated by ligand binding, and this results in modulation of gene expression. Lineage: Bacteria; Bacillati; Bacillota; Clostridia; Eubacteriales; Clostridiaceae. RNAcentral also lists the same sequence under 1 other name. The record is from RNAcentral.